RNAcentral lists this ribosomal RNA (407 nucleotides) under uncultured bacterium. Its description in RNAcentral is "bacterial SSU rRNA". It matches the Rfam family "Bacterial small subunit ribosomal RNA", at positions 355 to 776 of the family's 1533-position model. The record is from RNAcentral.
UCGAGAAUCUUGGGCAAUGCACGAAAGUGUGACCCAGCGACGCCGCGUGGAGGAUGAAGGCCCUUUGGGUUGUAAACUCCUUUUAAGGGGGAAGAAUAAAUGACGGUACCCCUUGAAUAAGCCACGGCUAACUACGUGCCAGCAGCCGCGGUAAUACGUAGGUGGCAAGCGUUGUCCGGAUUUACUGGGCGUAAAGCGAACGCAGGCGGACUGUUAAGUAGGAAGUGAAAGGUUGGAGCUCAACUCCGACACUGCUCCCUAUACUGGCAGUCUUGAGUGGCGGAGAGGAAAAGGGAACGACACGUGUAGCGGUGAAAUGCGUUGAUAUGUGUCGGAACACCAAUGGCGAAAGCACUUUUCUGGACGCAAACUGACGCUGAGGUUCGAAAGCUAAGGUAGCAAACAGG